Molecule: long non-coding RNA, 5287 nt
Organism: Antechinus flavipes (yellow-footed antechinus)
Lineage: Eukaryota; Metazoa; Chordata; Mammalia; Dasyuromorphia; Dasyuridae
Exons: 2
Source: RefSeq, a predicted model, not a curated record
GUCAGCAGAAAAAGCCUAUUGCACCAGACCAGGACCCCAACCCACAAAUGCAGCAUAAACCUUGCCUGGCACCAACUCCAGUGAGGAAGGAACUUUGAAUAGCAAGCAGAGAUAGAGGAUUCUGGACCUCUCAGCCCAGGAACACCAGAGGAUUCAGAAGGUCAGUGGAGAGGGACUAUGGCAAUGGAGUGUAAGUCUGGUGUACAGUCCUAGCGAAGCCUGGUCAGCUGAGCCCCAGCCCAGCCAGCAUACUAGAUCAUCUAUCUACUGUAGGACAAGGACAAUCUAACAGCUCUAGGACCAAAAAAAGUGCUUGUGAUCAAACCCCUAGAUGGAUUUCUGAAAACAGUCGCACAAACCCCCAGAAGCUUGGGACAAUGCCCCCUCUACUCUGGAAACAGAGUCCCACUUUAACAGAGAGUUAAAAGCUGAGUAAUAGGCUAGGAAAAUAAGCAUUAAACAAAGUUUCUGAUCAUUGAAAGUUAUGGUGACAAAGAAGAUCAAUACUACACUCUCAGAAGAUGGUAACAAAGUCAAAGCCCCUACAUCCAAAGUCUCCAAGAAAAAUAAGAAUUGGGCUCAGGCCAUGGAAGAGCUCAAAAGAGACUUUGGAAAUCGAGUAAGAUAGAGGAAAAAUCAGGGAAAGGACUGAGAGGCCUGCAAAAGAAAAUACAAAAAGCUAAUGAGCAGAAAAAUGUCUUAAAAAGCAAAUUGGUCAACUGGGAAAGAAGGUACAAAAACUGAGGAAAAUAAUUCCUUUAAAAAAAAAAUAGAAUUGAGCUGACGGAAACGAAUGACUUCAAGAGAAAUCAAGAUACAAUAAAGCAAACUAAAAAGAUGAAAAAAAUAGAAAAAAGUGAAAUAUCUCACUGGAAAAAUAACUGACAUGGAAAAUAGAUCCAGUGAAGAUAAUUUAAAAAUUAUUGGUUUAUAGCAAAAGUCAUGAUCAAAGAAAAAGAGCCUGGACCUGACCUUUCAAGAAAUUAUCAAAGAAAAUUGUCCUGAUAUUUCAGAACCAAGAGGAUAAAAUGAAAAUUUAAAGAAUCCAGUGAUCAUCUCCUGAGAUUCCCCCCCCCCCCAAAAAAAAAAAAAAAAAAAAAAAAACACCUCUCAGGAAUACUAUAGCUAAAUUCUGGAACUCCCAGGUCAAGGAGAAAAUAUUGCAAGCAUCCAGAAGGAAACAAUUCAAGUACAGUGGUGCCAUGGUCAGGAUAACACAAGAUUUAAAGGAUUGGAGAGUUUGGAAUAUAAUAUUCCAGAGACCAAUGGAGCAGACUACCACCAAGAAUGACCUAAUCAGCAAAAUCAAGUAUAAUCCUUCAGAGGAAAAGGUGGUCAUUAAAUGAAACAGAGGAUUUUCAAGCAUGGAAAAUUUUAUUUUCAAAUACAUGACUCUGGAAAAAGCAUAAGGAGAUAAUUAGGAAAGUGAUAACAUAACUCAUUAGAACUUUCUCAUUAUUACAACAGUUAGAAGGAAUACACACACAAACACACACAGAAAAUGUGAGCUGGAUAUGAAGGGAUAAUAUCAAAUUAUGAUGCAAUUAAGAGAGGAAUGUAUUGGGAGAAAGGAAAGGAAGAAGUGGAAUGAUACAAUUAUCUUCCAUAAAUAGAGAAGGAAAAAGCUUUUACAGUAGAGGGGAAGAGGAGAACAGGAUGAGUCAGUGAACCUUACUUUCAUCAUAAUUGGCUCGAAAAGGAAAUAACAUGCAUACUUAACAGGAGUAAAGAAAUCUAUUUUACCUUACAGGAAAAUAAGAGGAGAAGGGAGAGAGAGUGACAAAAGAGAGUAUAUUUGGGGAGAGAAUGGUCAGUAGCAAAACAUUUUGAGGAGGAACGGGGGAAAAGGAGAGAAAAUAAAUGGGGGGAAAUACAGUUAUCAAUAGUAAUUGUAAAAAAAAUUUUUUGAAGCAAAUUUCUCUGAUGGAAUGUUACUGUUCUCUGGGAAAUGAUGAGCAGGAUGCUCUCAGAGGGGGGGAAAAACCUUGAAAAAUCCUCCAUGAACAAAGUAAAAUAUACUGUAUACAAAGUAAUAGCAACAUUCUGGGAUUACCAGCUGUAAAGGACUUUGUUUUUCUCAGUAGUACAAUCAUCUACAACUAUUCUGAAGGACUUAUGACGAAAAAUCUUGUCCAUACUCAGAGAAGGAAUUGAUUGUGUUUGAAUACAGAUCGAAGCGUUUCAUAUAAAUUUGCAUGUGAUUUCUUAAUUGUGAGUGGGGAUAAGGGAGAGAUUCUACAACUCAAAAAAUUUAAAAACAAAUGUAAAAAAUUGGUUUUCAAUGUAACUGGGGGGAAAAUAUUAAAUAAACAAAUUUUUAGAAAAAGGAAACUAUAGCAGCCUUUUUUUUUUUUUUUUUUUUUUUUUUGUGGCAGCAAAGAAUUGAAAAUUGAAGGAAUGUCAACCCACUGGAAAUGGUUGAACAACUUGUGGUAUAUGAUUGUGAUGGAAUACUAAAUAUAAUGCUACAAGAAAUGAUGAACAGGAUUAUUUUCAGAAAAACCUGGAAAGACUUACAAGAAAUGAUACUAAGUGAAGUGAGCAGAACCAGAACAUCUACACAGACUAACAAAUAUAGUACAAUAAAGAACUGCAAAUGAUUUGACUAUUCUCAGCAAUACAAUGAUUCAAGACAAUUCUUCAGGACAUGAAAAAUGCUGUCCAUCUUCAGAGAAAUAACUGCUAAGAGUCUGGAUACAGAUUGAAGCAAACUUUAUUUUCCUUGUUAUUGUUUGGUUGGGGGAGGGAGGAAGUUUCCUGUCUUUUCUUAUGUAACAUAAUAAAUAUGAAAGUAUUUUGUAUGACUGCAUAUAUAUAAUCUAUGUCAAACUGCAUGACUUCUCAAUAAGAGAGGGAAAAAAAGAGAGGAAAGGAAGAAAAGAAUUUGGAAUUCAAAAAAAUUUUAAAUGAAUGCUAAAAACUUGUGUGUGUGUGUGUGUGUGUGUGUGUGUGUUUUAAUACGAUUUGGGAUGGGGCUAGAAAAUUAUUUUAGGGCUUUAAGUUGCCCACAUUUUUAAAUUCCAAAGAAUUUGUAUUUAACCUCAGAGAUGUUUGUGCGUUACUAGGAUUUACUAAGUAGAGGGAUGAAAUAGUCACAUCAGCAUUUUUGAAAAAACACUUUACUAGUUGUGUGGAACAUGUAUUGGAAUGAAGAGAGACUUAAGAGAAGAUUAAUUAGAAAAACAUCGCAGUAGUUCAGGUAAAAGACAAUGGAAUCUGAACAAAGAUAGUAGUGAUAUGAUUGAAGAAGACACAUAAUGCAACAAAGUUCUUUACAAGAUCUAGCAACUGAAUAUCUGUACAUGUGGGGUGAGAAAGAAUAAAGAACUGAAGAUGAUACUGUAAAGGGAAGUAAAAGGCUGGAAAAGGUCAGAUAAUGAAAGGCUCUAAAAGACAUGAUUUUAUUUGAGCUUGAAGUAAUAGGGAACCACUGGAGUUUAUUUAAAGGGAGAGAAGAGACACAGGCAGAGCAACUGACAUGGUCAAAACUUUGAUUUAGGAAAAUCACCACAACAGGUGAAUGGAGGACUGAUUGGGGUGAGGAGAAAACUUAAAACAGAAAGACCUAUCAAGCAAGAGCUAUUGUAAUAUUCCAGGUGGCAGGUGAUCAGGUUCUAAACCAAGAUAAUGGCAGAAGGUAUAUAUAACAGAAAUUUAAAAAGUAGAAACAAGACAACCAAUGUAGGUGAUCAACUGUAGUUGAUAUUAUGGAGCCUGUAAGGUAUUUAUACAUAAUAUGGUUCUGAAAUAUUCAGGCCUUCUACGAGGAAUUAUGGUACUGAGUGAUACACUGAGCUUCUAAGAAUUUGAAUGUCAAUUCUAUGAACUUUGCUACAAUUUUUGUAACAUUUGUUUCAACAGCUUAGAGCAAAAACUGCUCAAAACAACUGCCUGGUACUAUUCUACACUAAGCAUAGUAAAGUAUCCACCAUAUAGUGGAUCAAAAUCAAGUUACACAUUAAGUGCUAAACAAAUGCAACAAAUUACAAGAGAAGCAUGACCAAAUUAGAACUACGUCCUCCAAAAAGAACACUGAGAAAAAUGUCAUGAUGGGUAUGGAGGGUAAAUAGUUAUGUUCACCAGAUCUAGGAUAGAAAAACAGACAUUGUCUAUUUUUAAUAUAUAGUACCUGGGAAAAGUCAUAACUUUGUUCAAAUUCUUAAUUUUUAAGAGCUGUAGGAUUUUCAACUAUCCAUUUUCUUUCACAAUCAACUAUUCACAUUCUUUUAUCUAAGGUGUAAAUAUAUAGACAUACAUAGCAUCUGAAUUUACUACCAAAUAUUUCAGUUGAUGUCUGAUUUCGCCUUAAUUUUAAGCAUGAUUAACACCAUUAAAACAAGUAAUUAAUAUAGCAUAAUUUCUCUUAAAGUUCUUUGAACUUAUGAAUUAAUAUUUUAGAAAUAUACAGGCAUCAAUCAUCUAAUGACUAAUCAAAAUUCAGCACCUACUAGAGGGGAUACAAAUAAAGUGAGUAAAAUUACUCCUUAUAAGGAAUCUACUGGAGGGAAACAACUAGGACAUUAGUACUUACAGAAUAAAUAUGAAGUUCCAGAGGAGGGAAUUAACAGUUGAAAAGAACAGGAAAGCCUUCAUACAAAAAAUAGUGCUUGAGCUGUAUCCUAAGAGAAGAUUGCAUAUAGGGACAAUUCCAGUCUGGAAUUGUCUCCAGAUGGCUCCAGAGGAGAAAGUGAGGCCAAACUUUGCAAAGUCCUCCCUCACUUAAAUCCAAUUUACUUGCAUGUUGUCACAGUAUCACCUCCUGAUGUCAAGGCCCUCUUCCAGAAGGACAAACAACAUAAGAGAUAUAUUCUAGAGUUAUUUCUAAUGGACCUGGAAUUUACAUUGGAGGAAGGGUUGUAUAGGAUUUCAAAAGCUAAAGAAAAGAUUUGCUUAUAAUUCCUGAAGUAAUAAGAGGCUAGAGAAAUUGAUAUGCAAGUGAUGAGGUCUUAUUUUUCACUUCAGGAAAAUCACUUUAGCAAUAUGAUAGAGGAUGAGAUAGAGUGGAGAAAAGCUAAGGCAAGGAAUACAAUUAGUAGGUUGUUGGAAUAAUAUAGGUGAGGGAUGAUGAAGAUUUGAAUUAAGGUAAUAGUUGUAUAAAUAGAGAAGAUAGGAAAAAGGUGAGUUGGAAAGGUGUUGUGAAGAUACAAAUAGCAAGAUCUGGCAUUUGAAAAGUUGGGUGGGGGGGUUCAGUGAAGGAAAGUAAAAGAAUCAGUGAAUCAGGUUUCAGCAGUUUUUUUAGAUAGAAAUGUGUGGGAGAAGUUUUUUUUUUUUUUUUUUUUUUUUUUUC